GCCAGGUUUGGUGGUGUGCACCUGUAGUCCCAGCUACUCAGGAGGCUGAGGUGGAGGAUCCCUUGAGCCCAGGAGGUCAGGGCUGCAGUGAGCCAUGAUUGUGCCACUGCACUCCAGCCUGGGCAAGAGAGCGAGACCCUAUCUCAA
Unclassified non-coding RNA from Macaca fascicularis (crab-eating macaque), 147 nucleotides. It matches the Rfam family "Metazoan signal recognition particle RNA". From Rfam's summary of the family: The signal recognition particle (SRP) is a universally conserved ribonucleoprotein. It is involved in the co-translational targeting of proteins to membranes. Lineage: Eukaryota; Metazoa; Chordata; Mammalia; Primates; Cercopithecidae. The record is from Ensembl.